This is a long non-coding RNA of Bombus impatiens (common eastern bumble bee), 2886 nucleotides long. RefSeq lists it as uncharacterized. The record is from RefSeq and is a predicted model, not a curated record. The transcript has 3 exons. Lineage: Eukaryota; Metazoa; Arthropoda; Insecta; Hymenoptera; Apidae.
UAUACAAUAGAUAUAUAUAUAUAAAUAUAAAUAUAAUGGAUUCUAAUAUUCUAUUUAGGCCGCUGCUAUCUUUUACGAAGGGCAAGCACAAUAAGGACGAUCUGCAUUCCCUGCAUAAUCUACUGCGUCCUUUCGGUCAACCAAAACUCAACUCUUACGCGAGUUAGAGGUAUCCAUUCAGUGUUCCUUUCAUCUUUACUUAUUUUAUUUAAUCUUUGCAUUUCGGCUUUGAAUGACAACCGCAUGUAAUCUCUACCUAAUACAACGAUGCUAUUUCUCUUUUCAACGCUAUAACACUUAUUUCUCUAGCUCUUAUGAUAAAAAUACGUAUCCUAAUCUAUCCUAACCUAAUAACCUAAUCUAUCUUAUUCUACUGUUCUGUCUCUUUCAUGAUGAGGAUAUUUUGAGGUUCCUUAGAGAUACUUUGUUUCUUAUAGCGCGCGUUUGACAGAGAGAUGGUGGAAAAUAUGAUGUUUAGAAAAAGUACAACCUAAAUGAGAUGAGUGGAAUAUAAUGGAAGAAAGUCCAAGGAAAAAGGAAACGAAGGUAAUCGAACGACUGUAAUCGAAGAAGGCAUGUAUCGAGAUUCGAGAUUCGAUAAUCGAACACAGUGGCUGGGAGACGGUCAUAAAAGAAAAAAGAAAGUAUCGUGUUUGCGUACUCAUGAAAAAAAAAUGAUUUGGGUCAAAUUCAUUUUCGAGGUUCCCUUUCUCCGUUCGAGGACGGGGCUUCCCUGCAGGAAGUGGAAAGACUUUCAGUUUCGUAAUGUGGAGAUACGCGCGGUACUUCGUCUUUUCUCCUGCGAACCGAUGUGACCAGAGCCAUCAUUGCCUUUUUAUAUUUCGUGGAUCAUCAAACAAAAACGUGGUGUUCAUUAUAACUCGUAGUAAGCAGCGAAGAAACCAUCGUUUUAAUUCUCAGCCGAUAUCGUUGGAUCCUAAGGAGCUCACGUUCGGACAAAUGAAUUCAACCAGCAACAGAAUAAACGCAGUUCGGAUAAAGACUCCUUUUGUACAGAGAGAUAGUGCUGUGUUUCAAUAUUAAUGCGAGUAACUGUCCAUAUCAAAACAAUGUCGAACUAUGUCAAACGACGUCAAGCGACAUGAAACAUCAUCAUGAACAUGAUGAAGACAUCAUCAUCAUGAAGACACGUGAAGGGAACUGAAGCGUGAGAAUGUCCUCGCAUGAGAACCGCUGGCAAUGAGGAAUCGCUAGGAAGAGCGGACGAUUUUAAUCGCUGGCUUCAGGAUGGGACAUCGCAAACAGACAUCAUGAAGAGUAACAACGACCGAGCACGUAACCAACCGCGUAAGUCUGGUGAAUGGGAAAAGGAGAAGCCCGUUGUGUAUAUGCCUGUAUGUAUUGGUGUAAGCACGUGUCGUUGCGUUAUAUACGUGUGGACCAGUCAACGCCGGACGUCCCACUAAGAGUACGAAACGCUCGAAGGUAGAAAGGUUCGUAGAUUCUUUCGUCCCGAUCGAAAUGCGGAACGUCCAUGGGAACAUGGAGUAGAAUCCCAAAGCGAGUAAAAAGCGACAGUGCAUUAGAAAGGGAAUUUUCAGCAAAUCGAAAUUUAGCCGGGCAUCAAGCGAUGCGUGGAAACUGUUUCUUUUGUCAUUCGUUAUUUUUUUUUUCUUUCAUAGCCAUUAUAUUUUUUAAUAUACCGUAUAUUAUAUAUUUGUGAUUUUUGGGGUUUCAAUCGUAUUAUUAGUACAUCGCGUUUGUUCUGAGAUUUCGUGAAUAUUCUAGUUCACGUUUUCAGGGCAGAUAGAAAAUGAUUCGUGGGGAAUUGAAAUUAAAAUUUGAAAUAGAAAUUUUGGUUUAUAGAAUCGUAUUCUGAAUAGUGUGUUUCGUACCCUGUACUGUUUUUCAUACAGUUAGGUACUAAGUAAUGAGAUCGAUACGAAGAGAAAGCUUUUUUGUCUCGUGAACGAUUUAGGUUGAAAUGGCAGUAAGCAUUUUGAUUUUAAAAGGUAAGAGUUUUGAACAGUGUGAUUUAUGGUGAAGUAUACGUUAAGUAAUAGGAUUACUGCGAAAUAGAAUCUCUCUUUCUCAUAAAAUGAAUCUCUUCUUUCUUGUUCUUUUAUAAUACAUAAAGUUGGAAGUACACCGUGACAAAUGGUAGAAAUUGAAACACAUAUCCCUCUCUCCAAUAUAAUCACUCUUUUUUCAUUAUCACUACUUUAUUUCCUACGUAAUAUGAAAUGGCAAAACCAUAAAACGACAAAUGGAUUUGAAAAUUAAAAGAGAAAAGUAUAAGGAAAGAAGAAAGAGUUUAAUAAUUGGUGAUUGUUUUAUGGCUCGAUGGAUUUGAGAGUGAAACUUUUUCAAAGAUGAACCAUGAAUAAGUGCAACUACGAAGAAUGCAUGUGAAACGGUCAUGGGAACAUGGAGUAGAAUCUUAAAGACAAUGAAAAGCGACAGUGUGUUAGAAAGAUCUGUAUGUGAAACGGAGUCAUGGGAAAACAGGGCAGAAUCUCAGAGAGUUAGAGCCGCCUUACAAAAGAGAGACAUUGCAAGCGCGUUGGAAAGGAAGUUUUGUGGAAUGAGGCUUGUCAGCGACGUUUUGCGGGCCAAAUGGUAUUCUCUUAUACGGUAAACAUUCCAGGAAAAGUCCAAGGCAGUAAAGGGAUUUUUCUGCUAUUUAGAAGCUAUUAUAAAGGAAAUUAAAGGUGUUUAGAAUGAUGGAUGGCAGUUCGAAUACCUUAUUGUAUAGAAUUGGCUGAAAGAAUGGCGUGACAAAAACGGACAAAGUUUAAACACCCUUGGACACAGGAGAAAGGCAAAUACUCUAAAAAUAGGACCAAUUACUUCAGUAUAAAAUGCUAAAUUCUUUUAAAUUUUACCAUUAUAACUUAAGAAACUCAAAUACAUUAACUACAGGUC